This 472-nucleotide ribosomal RNA is filed under the name Pandoraea sp. HE19A. Its description in RNAcentral is "bacterial SSU rRNA". It matches the Rfam family "Bacterial small subunit ribosomal RNA", at positions 51 to 515 of the family's 1533-position model. The record is from RNAcentral. Lineage: Bacteria; Pseudomonadati; Pseudomonadota; Betaproteobacteria; Burkholderiales; Burkholderiaceae.
UCCCAUCGUCAGUCGAACGGCAGCACGGGUGCUUGCACCUGGUGGCGAGUGGCGAACGGGUGAGUAAUACAUCGGAAUGUACCUUGUAGUGGGGGAUAGCUCGGCGAAAGCCGGAUUAAUACCGCAUACGCUCUGAGGAGGAAAGCGGGGGACCUUCGGGCCUCGUGCUACAAGAGCAGCCGAUGUCAGAUUAGCUAGUUGGUGGGGUAAAAGCUCACCAAGGCGACGAUCUGUAGCUGGUCUGAGAGGACGACCAGCCACACUGGGACUGAGACACGGCCCAGACUCCUACGGGAGGCAGCAGUGGGGAAUUUUGGACAAUGGGCGAAAGCCUGAUCCAGCAAUGCCGCGUGUGUGAAGAAGGCCUUCGGGUUGUAAAGCACUUUUGUCCGGAAAGAAAUCCUUUGGGUUAAUACCUCGGGGGGAUGACGGUACCGGAAGAAUAAGCACCGGCUAACUACGUGCCAGACCC